CAAGGCUCCUUUUUUUUUUUUUUAAACAGAUGAGGAAGCUAGAAGUGGGCAGGUCAUACUUAACCCAGGGACCCCCUGCUGGUAAGGUGGUAGAGAUGGACUCCAAAGCUAGUGAUGAAAAUACGUGCUCAUUCCAUCCAGAGGAGGGCAAUUGAUCAAUUUCUUAAACACUAGUACCCAGAAAGAUUCCUUCAUUUGCUUGAAUGUCCUUUCAACAUCGGCAUGAACAUUUAGGGGGGGAAACGCCAUUAGUUUUCAAGAAGGGACACUGUGUGCCUUAGGGUUCCUCAGGUUGCAGGGUCGCCUCAGCUAGGCUAGGUGUGCGCCCUUCUUCCUGGAAAUCGGCUCUUAACUUUCCCGAUGCGGUUCUGCCGCACGGGCAGCGUUGGGGGCUGUGUCCUGUGGUUGGUGUCUCUUGAAUCCACAAAGUUCCUCCUAUAGUCAUUGGUUCCGCCGCCUCAGACGAACAACUUCCUCUCUUCCCCACUUUGGAAUUUGCUCCUGAUUCGAUCAAGGCGCAGGCAGCAGCAACAGCUUCCAGCCCAGACAGGCUUCAGCACGGCACCAGCCGGUACAGCUCGAGGGUGUCCCGGGUGGGUGGCUCUCAGCGGGGCCCUACCUGGGCGGUCGCUGCUUGCAGAACCCUCCCCUGGAAACCUCCCCCACCCCCACCCCCCAACCAAACACAGCACAGUGCCUCCAGCUCCGGGCUGCUGAUCACCUGUCAACGGGGAACCGGCAGAGACCAGGAUUUCUCCUCGCUGCUGCUGUUGUUAGGGGAAACAGACAACCAUCUGCAUCUAGACCAGCCUUUCUGUCUCUCUCCCCUUUUAAAGCGAGGUCUUCCUGCUCCGAAUCUGAAUUUCCACAAUGUUUGUAGUGUUAGACAUUCAUUACACAAAAGCCUUCAUAAAUUUUGUACAUCUUUCUGAGAGCCACAUGCAGAAGUGCAAGAGGAAGAAGACGCUAGAACACUGGAAAAGGGAUCACAUGGUCUGUGAGGUGAAAUGAAACUGGCCAACCCUGGAAUCGGAUAGAAUGCAAUGAAGAAAGAGAAGAAAAUUUCUAAAAAAAAAAAAGGGAAAGAGAGGAACUCGACAUUGUAUCAAGCAGAAUGUGUAUCCACUAGACUGUGAGCACCUCAACACAAGAGAUUUGGGUUGAGAGUUAAACUAAUUGACUAAAUAUCACUUGACGGAUAAUCACCAGAUCUUCUAAGAUGGUCUACCUGGUAAAGUGAUAUAGAGUCAAUUUUAGGUAUCCUCGUGUAUCGUGCCCUAUUUGCAUUUCCUGGUACUUUGUGUGGAUCAUUAGUUCUCUUCACGAACUGUUAGGGAAUUAAUGUGGUUUUAUGGUCCGCUCCUUCCAGCUGGUACUUAAGCAUCGUGGGUCAGUAGAAAUGUGAACAGUAGAGCGCUGAGCCAAUACUCCUUAUAAUCUGUUGUGUUCCCAAAUGGCCAAAGGAAUAACAGAGAUUAAAGAGAGAUAAAUGUA
Long non-coding RNA from Herpailurus yagouaroundi (jaguarundi), 1494 nucleotides. RefSeq lists it as uncharacterized. NCBI's taxonomy places the organism in Eukaryota, Metazoa, Chordata, Mammalia, Carnivora, Felidae. The transcript is spliced from 2 exons. The record is from RefSeq and is a predicted model, not a curated record.